UACGUAGGUGACCAGCGUUGUCCGGAUUUACUGGGCGUAAAGAGCGCGCAGGCGGUCGUUCAAGUCGAGUGUGAAAGCCCCCGGCUCAACUGGGGAGGGUCACUCGAUACUGAUCGACUUGAAGGCAGGAGAGGGAAGCGGAAUUCCCGGUGUAGUGGUGAAAUGCGUAGAUAUCGGGAGGAACACCAGUGGCGAAGGCGGCUUCCUGGCCUGUUCUUGACGCUGAGGCGCGAGAGCUAGGGGAGCAAACGGG
RNAcentral lists this ribosomal RNA (253 nucleotides) under uncultured bacterium. Its description in RNAcentral is "partial 16S ribosomal RNA". It matches the Rfam family "Bacterial small subunit ribosomal RNA", at positions 524 to 776 of the family's 1533-position model. The record is from RNAcentral.